This 212-nucleotide long non-coding RNA is filed under the name Elaeis guineensis (African oil palm). RNAcentral describes it as "long non-coding RNA (EGUI_LNC011095)". Lineage: Eukaryota; Viridiplantae; Streptophyta; Magnoliopsida; Arecales; Arecaceae. The record is from RNAcentral.
GCUAGGCUCUUCAAGGAAGUGGGUUUUCUCAGACUUAUAAAAGGAAUUGAAAAUCAGAAGGAGUUAAAAAGUCUUACUAAUCUUUAUUUUAUGGAUGAUACUUUACUAUUUUGUGCAGAAAAGAAAGAGAGCAUCUUGACCACCAAGGUAUCUUGUUUGCUUUUGAAGAAACUUUAGGACUCAAGAUUAACUUUCACAAAAGCUUUCUGUUG